UUGAAACAUAAUAGAAUUUAAAAUUCAUAAGGAUUCUCCUGUCUAAUCCUCGUUUCAGUGCUACCAUGCGUCAGUUCGCAAUAUCCGCUGGACAUUUAUGCCUGCUGCUCCUUGCCUGUACGCAAGGUAAGUACUUCUGUGAGUUAUGAUUCGUGUAGUGUGCAUGCAGACUGCAAUGUAGAGACAUUGGCGCGGCGAAAACAAUCUCCCGGCGUUUCUUGCGUGUUUCGGGAUCGCGCGCAGCAGGCGGCGUCAUGGGCCAAGGUACCAUAAAAGUUGUUGGAGACCGGUUCAUCCAUCCGAAGGCAAGUAGUUGAAUGUUAUUGCCGGUGUGUUGGCAACAGAAACGCAGAUUAUUCGUACUGCGCCUUGCCAAAGCCGGAGGCGCCCACGCAUGAAUGCAGUUCUGGCGCUCUUACGUGUGAGCUUUACUCUGUUUAGCUUAAGUUCGCGAUGCGCAUUACCGUCCCUGUGGGGACUGCUGUGUUCUAGAUCAUUUACCACCUUCCGAAACUAGCCUUCAAUUUGACCUAUAGCUUAGUGAACACGCAGUUUCGUAAAACUUAAUACUUACUUAUAAAACUCUUCCUCUUCCUGGAGAGUUGUUAUCGGUCGCAGACGCACCUUAGGUAGGCUACCAUCACCUCGCGAAGCCUAGCACGUGCGUGAAAUGUAACGGACAAACAUGUAACAAAAAAACCUUUUUCACUCGAUAAGUCUCGCCCGCUGCGUUUGCCACCUGCCGGCCACUCGAGUUUAUUACACAAAUUGUUACCAUUCGACGGCAUUCCUGUAAAACAAGGUCCUACCUAAUGAAUAUUAAUUUUACGUCAUUCAUGCAGGUGAAGACAGCAGUACUGCAGUGCUGGUGACCUGUGUUGGUCGAAUCACCGUUUCGAUGGAUCAAUCGUUUCGCAGUGCUGCAUUCAUCUAUGCGACUGAAU
This 944-nucleotide long non-coding RNA is filed under the name Volvox carteri. Its description in RNAcentral is "long non-coding RNA (VCAR_LNC002370)". The record is from RNAcentral. Lineage: Eukaryota; Viridiplantae; Chlorophyta; Chlorophyceae; Chlamydomonadales; Volvocaceae.